Molecule: non-coding RNA, 204 nt
Organism: Vicugna pacos (alpaca)
Lineage: Eukaryota; Metazoa; Chordata; Mammalia; Artiodactyla; Camelidae
Source: RefSeq, a predicted model, not a curated record
UGCUCUUCCAAUCUGGCCAAGUUGCGACUGGCUCUUUAGAAAGCUCUCUCUGGCAGGGGUGUGGAGCGUGCGUUGAAGUGGGUCACGACAGAGGCAUAGGAAGGCCCAUUGGGACAACAGCGCGGCCCUCUCUGGAGGAUGCUGGAUGGGGAAGUGGCAGUGGGGCUGGACAGAAGCAGAUGCUUUCAGAAGAUCUUUCGGAGG